CACGAAACACUAACGGCCGUUUUCAAUAACCUAUCUAUCCCUAGUUUCGGUUACUAAAGAUAGACAAAUCUAUAUUUUUGUCCUUACUUACGUUCCAAUAACCUAUCGACGGGCAGCAGUUCCUAUCGGAUUUAUCUAUCCAUCGUCGGGAGGACGGAUAACCUGCUAAAGAUAGAACGCUCAUACAAAUCGUGCUUACUUCCGUUUCAAUAUGAGUUUUAAGUAACUCUCCGGUAGGCGGCGCUAUCUCUAGUAUGGGCAUUCGCUUAUCUGUCAAAAUCGGCCGGUUACAUGUUUAUCUUUCGAAAGUAAAUCGCUAUAAUUUAAUAAUUGUUUCUCUUCAUAUUGGCAUAUUGUAGCAGUGAUGAUAGUGAUAUGGAAUUAUUUCAAAUGAUAAUGGAUUGUGAUGCAGAUAGUGAUAGUGAGGCCGAUAUCAUAUGGUUAGGAAAAUAAAGAUCGUCUGAAUUACAUGGCGAAGAUCAAUAAUUACGAAUUUGACUAUAGAUUUCUGAGCAAAGGUAUUGUGAAUGAAUUGAUUAAUUUAAUGAGACCAUAUUUGAGUGUAACGUCAAAAAGAUUCAAAUAUAGGAGAGGAAUUUAGAAAUAGAAAAAGAGUAUUUUGAAUGUGUAAUUUGUGUGCAAUGCAUCAUUGAUGUUUCAAAAUGUUGUUGCUUGAUGGCCCGGGUCUACUCAUGAUACAGCUAUAAUUAACCAUUCCGAUUGAAAAGAUGCAUUGGUGUUUGUAAAAGAAGACUCCCUGUAUAUCAUUGAAAAGUAGAUUAAAACUAGAAAAUAUGCAAGCUGUUAUUAUAGCUGCCAUGCUGCAUAAUAUCGUCAGAAGUAUGAAUUUAGAAGAAUUAGAAUCAGAAAUUUCAGUCGCAGAUACAUUACAGGAAAAUAAUAUAAUUGUUCGUAACAAUUUUUCAAAACUUACAUCUGAAAUACAACUAUGUACUUAUAAAUAAUUGCUUCCAAAGAUAAUUUAUAAAAUAAACUCCAAAGAUAA
This is a long non-coding RNA of Bombyx mori (domestic silkworm), 1006 nucleotides long. RefSeq lists it as uncharacterized. The transcript has 3 exons. The record is from RefSeq and is a predicted model, not a curated record. NCBI's taxonomy places the organism in Eukaryota, Metazoa, Arthropoda, Insecta, Lepidoptera, Bombycidae.